AACCUUCUACCUUGUUUGAGGUGGGGUGACUUAUUCACUGCAGUGUACGUGGGCUGGCUAGCUGGCCUUUCAGCCUCCAUGUAUUCUCCUGCCUCUAACUCACCACUUGCCUUAGGAGUACAGGGACUGUAGACAUGCUACCGAGUACAGCUUUGAGUGGGCGCUGGCAACCCAAACUCAGGUCUCCCACACUCGCCCAGGAGGCAUUUAACUCUCUAGGUCAUUCCCCAAGCUUCACAAAGGUUCUGCUCACCUGAGUAAACAUCUCCUUCUUCCCUGGGCAUCUUCCCUCUUGCCCUUCUGAUUAUAAAGGGCUCUGUCCUCGCCUCUGGCUGAAGGUGAGAAUGUGGGGGAGGGGAGGGAAAGCAAAGCAUACCCCAACGAUUGAGCUAAGAAUGACCCAGGGCUCCCUCCUCCAUUGGAAAUGUGGGACUCAGUCUCCGGCCCAUUCUGUGAUGUGAUUUGGAUGUGAAAUGUCCCCUCCAGGCUCAUGUGUUUAAACAACUUGGUCCCCAGCUGGUGAUGCUGUUUGGGAAGACUGUAGAACCUUCAGGAGGCGGAGCCUCACUGGGGGCGCUGACCUUCAGUUUUUACGGCCCAGAAGCUCCACUUCCCGUCCUCUGCUUUCUGACUACAGACUCAGUAUAACCAGAUGCCUCGCAUUCCUUCUGCAGCAUCUUCUGCACUAUGAUGGACUGUCCACCCUCAAACUACAAGACUGAAUCGCCCCUUAAGCUCUUCUCCUCCUUCCCCUUCUCCUCUUCCUCCUCCAUUUCUAAUGUGUACUUGAGACAGAACCUCCUGUAACCAGGCUAUUCUCAAACUUGCUAUGUACCAGAGAAAAACCAUGAACUUUUUUUUUUCCUGAGAUAAGGUUUCUUUGUGUAGCCUUGGCUAUCCUGGACUCGCUUUUAAGACCAGGCUGGCCUCGAACUCACAGAGAUCCACUUGCACUUGCCUCCCAAAAAUCUGGGAUUAAAGGGGUGCACUACCGUGCCCCAGCUGCUCAUGAACUUCUAAUCCCCAUAAUUGCUGAGAUUACAGGCACAUGCCACCAUGUUCAUUUUAUGCAGUGCUAAGAACUGAACCCUGAAUUCUACAGCGACAUACCCCAAGCCCUUAAAUUAUUUCUUCUCAUCUAGUUGGUCAGUAGCAAGAAAAGUAACUAAUAAAGAAAAGUAACUAAUGACUGUUCCUAGCCUUCUGUGGAUGCCUCCCCAAAUGGACAUAGCCAUCCUGGGUAAACAUGGUGGCACAGUGAGACUUGUGCGGGAGGGUCUCUUCACUGUGGCUUCGGCUGUAUUCUUUUGGCUUGCCUGGCAGGGGGAGAAGCUGGCUGCCACGUUGUCCAGCCACUCGAGUGGCCCUCUGAAAAGACCACGUGGUGAAGGGUUGGGGUGGCAUAUUUCCAUUACAGUUCCUAACAGUAGCAAAAUCACAGUUAUGAAGUAGCAGUAAAACAAUGUUAUGGUUGGGGGGGGGGUCACCACAACAUGGGGAACUGCAUUAAAGGGUUCUGCUAUCAGUCCCUGAGCAGGUAGGUAUCAACGACUGUAACGACAUAAGAGACCUAGGUAGGACCCUGAAGCUGACGAGGUCCUGAACUCUAGAGCUGCUAGAACUAUGGGAAACGAUGGUUGUUGUUAUGUUAAAAACACUAAGCUUCAGAGAAGUUUAGAAUAUAAUAGACAACCCACUUGAGGACUUAGUUGGUGCCAUGCUUGCCUAGCUUGCAGGAGGCCCUGAGUUCUGUCCUCAGCACCAUGUAGACCUGACUGUGAUGGUGCCUGCCUGUAAUCUCCGCACUUGGGAUGUGGAGACGAGAGGAUCAGGAGUGCAGCAAGGUCAUUUGGCUACAGAGAUCCAACCUGGGAGAUAUUAGCCUGAGAACCUGCCCCAAAACAAAACUAAACAAAGCAACAAAAAACCCAACAGCUGAGGCCAGAGAGAUGGCUCAGUGGUAAAGAGUACAAACUACACUUGCAGAGGACCUGAGUUCAGUUCCAGGCAUGCAGUCAGGUAUGAAGUCCCAGGACACAGGUGCAGAGACUGCCAUCAUUCCCAUUUUAUAUACAGUAACCCUCCCUCAUUCACGAUGCUCCAAGGAUGCCUGAAACUGUAGCCAGUUCUGAAUUUCACAUACAUUAUGUUUAUUUCCCAAUAUGAGCACUGCAACAGUAAGGUUUGAUGCAUACAUUAGGCACGGUAAGAGAUUGACAAUAUCUAAUAGUAAUAUCAGAACAAUUGUAAUCAUACACUCUAGUCAAUGAAGACACUAAUGAAUUUUUUAGUCCUGGAUAUUUCCAGUUAGUGAUAUCAGACAGUGCUGACCUCAGGGAGCUAAAUAAAGGUAUGAGAACAGGCUAUUUUACAGCCUCCCCCAAACAGCACCACUAAGUGGACGCCACACCAAAUGUUCUAAGGCCAGAGCCCAUGAGAGACACUUCCCAUAGGAAUCACUAUAGAGUGUAAUACAGUAUUCUGAUCGUUUGAGGUCUGUUAAAGAGAAUGAGGGCAAAGUGACGGCCUAGCUGGACGCUGCUAGACUUGGAUUUUUCAAGCUGGAACCUGGAGCUCCCCACUCCCAGCUGCUUUGGGGCUGCCCUUCUGCUGGCUUGGAGUCUCGCAUCUGGAAGCAGGAUGUCAGACUGGGUGGAAAGUGCUGCCUUUAUAUCCUGUUCCAAGUGCUUCCUGGAAAGACAGAAGAAAGAAGAAACAGAGACUGUUGGGUCCCAGCUUGCUUCUCCUCACAGAGCGGUUGCAUUGAUGGACCCAGGCUGGAGAGUUUUAGGGAAGGUCAUCACCAGCAGAUGCAGCUUCAGGAAGCUCAGAGCCGGAGAGGAAAACGAGGCAGAGCACUUUCCAAAUCUGCUAAACACAGAUCUCCUUCUCCCUAUGCCGGCCGAGAGACUGUCCUAUCCCAGGCACAGAGCCAAACUCUGAGAAGGCGUACCAAAAGGGAAUCAAAUUCCUGACGUCCUAAGAAGCCGUGGACCUAGGAGGAGACAGCACAGAGACAAGCCGUCCUGACUAUGGGCAUCGCAGCAGAGUCUGCGAGCAGACUUUCUUCUUUCUAAGGCGGAAUGGUACUUCCGCUGUAUGAACGCGCAACACGUUUUGUUUAUUCUGUCAACCGUGAUGGACCUUGCUGUUGCUUUCAUCUUUGGCCUAGUAUGAAAUGAAAUGCUGCUGAGAACCUGGGUGCACAAACCUUUUCCUUUUUACGAGUGAAAAAAUACACAAUUAUGGGAAGAAGACUCCAAAAGAGGCAAGAUAGAAAACUCAGCUAGCAGUGAGAAGGGUCCUGGAAGAGGAUUACGCACAGGAAGCAACACUUUUUUUUUUCUUUUUCUUUUUCUUUUCUGGAACUAAGAGGAUGAGAAGCCAGCUAGGUUAAAUGGCUAUUGUCAUCGUUUAGACAUGCCAUUGCUGCUGAUGCUCUGCAACUAGGUGGUUCUUGUUCUCCCUGCACUUGGACCUUGGACCGUGCUUAGAUCACAUCCUCAUUUUACUGAUGAAGAGCCCAAGACUUGGAGCAGAAGCUGGAAUCACCUCCAGAAGCCACAGGUGCCACCCAUCACCCCGGAAGGAUGUGAGAACAGGAAGCUAAAGUCAGGACAGAUUUGGGCAUUCAUUUCUAAGGGAGCCCUUGUAGCUGCAGUUUGUCUAUCAAGAUAUCUUUUCUUCAGGUCAUGGCUCAGAUACAAGGAGAUCCAUAGCAGGCAUAUUUGGAAAUCAGGCUAUCUUAAAUAUCUCAUUCUCUAUCCCAUCACUUUCCUUGUCUAAUUUUGAGGCAGGGUGCAUUGGAAUUUUAAUUCAGAACAUGGCUGCUCUGGCAAGAGAUCAUAUCUCAAGACCUUCUAGGUCUGUGUGAUCCGGCUGGAAUACAAACACACCUUUAAUCCAGGAGACAGAGGCAAGCAGAUCUGAGUUCAAGGCCAGCCUGGUAUAGAGCAAGUUCCAGAUAAAGAAAAGCUUAGGUCCAGGCAUGGUGGUAUAUGCCUUUAAUCCCAAACAAUGAUAGUUUGUAGAAGGAAACACCAUGGUUGAAAGUGAGUGGCAGAAAAAGUGACAAAUAAGAGAAGGUUCAACAGAAUAGGAUACACCCAAUUCUCAUAAGAAGAGAGAAAAGGGAAGCUACCUAAGGGGCAAUACAGAGAGGAGGCAGAUUUACUGGGACAGUAAUAGAGAGACAGGUGACAAAGAAAGAACUCAAGUGAGCAGAAUGAGCCAGAGAAUGAGAAGGAGCCAGGAAACUAAAGGAGAUUGUCUGAGUUCAUUUGAGGCCAAGCAGAGCAAUUCAGGGCAGAGAGAAAAGCCGGAUUGACUAAGUUAGUUGGAAGAGGAUUUUGAGCCAGAACAGCUGAAUUGAACCAGCUAGCCCAGAGUUUAGAAAGACAAGAAAGGGUGAGUUUAUAAACAGUAAGUCUCAGAGACUGAAAACAUUCUAGGCCUGGGUUAGAAUGUACGGAGGCUAGAAGCUUCCAGUACUUGGCCUAGGUUAGCAGACAGAGUCAAUAUAACUCCAAGACGACAAUUACCUCAGAAGAAUAAAAAUUCCUUUUACAACAGGGUCUCACUGUUUGGCCUUAAAAGGCAUUGUGCCACUCAGUUGCACUUUUUUUUUUGUUUUUUUUUUUUUUUGAUAACCAUCAUGUGGGCACAGCUUCUACAGAACAAAUGCUUAUAAGAGUGACCCCUAUCAAGAUGGCCAAAGUCUGUGGCUCUUUGUGGGUGAUAUUUAUUUAUGUGUGUGUGCAUAGAUGUGCACACAGCAUGCAUGCGGUCAUAGGACAACUUGUAAGAAUUUGUUCUCUUCUGUUACAUGGGUUCCUGGCAUUGAACUCAGAAUACCAGGCUUCAUGGCAAGUGUCUUUAUCUACUGAGUUGUCCUGCUGCCCCAGAUGUAGCUUCUCAUCAGCGGGUAUUGUUCUCCCAGUGAGAUGCAGUUCACCAAUUAGAAGUCACUUGUGCCAUGAGCAGUAUGCCUGGCAACAAUACCGACACACAUCUAUAACCCUAUGCCAUGUACAUGUGCAUAUAUAGGCUGCACUAAGUGGACUCAGUGAGUUGAAGAGGAGGAGAAAGAGAGGCACAAGGAGGACAAGGAGGAGGAGAUUAAGUGAAGAGGAGGGUAUGUCUGGGAGGCAGAGGCCGAGAGGAAUGGAGGCCUCCUGCCAACAUCAGUCACAUGAUAGCACUGUCCCGGAAGUGGAUUCUCCAGCUAGACCAAACAUCUUCAUCUUUCUAACUUUACUUUCUUAUGGCUGCUCUAGCUUGUGGCUGGCUUUAUUCUGAUUCUCUCAUAUUUUCUCUCUCAAACAGGGCCCUAGGGAGCUUGGAGCUCACUAUGUAGACCAGGUUGGCCCUGAACUUAUAGAGAUCCACCUCUAUAAGUUUCUACCUCUUGAGUGCUGGGAUGAAAAGUUUGCACAUUUUCCUUUUUUCUCGUGUCCUUGGAGACAGUGGGCUUUAUUGUAGAAUUUUCUUCAGAACAAUUCCGUGUUGAUUCAUUUACAAACUCAACGUUUCCAUCUGGUCAAGCUCACAUUUUCCCGCAAGUGAUGCUUUUCAUUCUUUCCAAAAAUAAUUUUAUAUUUCUCUAUUAUACUGAAUAUUUACUCUCUGUGAUGUACACAGAAGGCAGGGCAAGGAGGAAGGAGGGCAAAGACACUUUGUUCAUCUCCUUUUUUUUUUCUGGAGAUUUAUACGUAUGAGUGUGGGGGGCCAUGAACACAUGUGUACCAUUUGCAUGAGAGGCCCUCUUCAGAGCAUCGGAUUCAUGGAAGCUGGAGUCACAGAUGUUUGUGAAGUACCAUGUGCAAGAGCAGCCAGUGCUCUUAACGGCUGAGCCAUCUCUCCAGCCCCUCAUUUCCUUGUCUAAAUAUUUUAUGGCUUGUGGUACUUUCUCUUGGAUGUUUAUAAAACGGGAGCUAUCUUUACUGAAACCCAGUCAUAUGAUUUCCAAAAAGUAGAUGUGCAAUGCCUUUGGGGAUGGGAGAAUGCCUUCUGCACAGGGCAUUGCCCAGGUGACUGAUUUGUAUAU
Molecule: long non-coding RNA, 6046 nt
Organism: Meriones unguiculatus (Mongolian gerbil)
Lineage: Eukaryota; Metazoa; Chordata; Mammalia; Rodentia; Muridae
Exons: 5
Source: RefSeq, a predicted model, not a curated record